GGGGCCCUGAUUAUAAUUUCAGGACAGAGAAAAAUGCUUGUGGUUACCCACAGACCAGAGCAUAGGCCAGAAUAAGAGUGACAACACCCCUCCGGAGAUCAUAUCAGCUUGGAAGGACUGAAAACUUAUAGGCCCCUAGAAUUGUCUCUGAAAAUAGCAUCACAAAAAAUCUGAAUCUUGGGACAGUGCUCCCACUAUCUGGGGAACAGAGACCAACUUUAAUAUAAAGUUAAAAGUCAAGACUGGAAAAAGAAGCAAACAAAAAAAGAACCUUACCACAUAAAGUUCCUAUGGUGACAGGGAAGAUCAAAACAUAAACUCAGAAGACAAAGAAACUACAUGCAAAGCCUCAAAUAAAAGUAUGAAUUGGUUUCAGGCCUUAUAAGACUUAAAAAUUAUUUAUAAAAACAAAUUAAGGUGGUAAAAGAAAAAUUGAGGGAAAAAUGAGAGUGAUGCAAGAAAAUAAUGAAAAAGUCAACAGUUUGGUAAAGGAGGCUCAAAAAUACUGGAGAAAAAUAACAUCUUAAAAAACAGAAUAUACCAAAUAGUAAGAGACAUGGAAAUCCACUGAAGAGAAGAGUUCCUAAAAAAGCAGAAUUGGCCAAAUAGAAAAGGAGGUACAAAAGCUCACUUAAUAUAAUAACUCCUUAACAAUUGGAAAGUAGAAGCUAAAGACUCCAUGAAUCCUCAAGAAGCAACAAAAUAGGGAGUUGCUGCAUAGCUCAGUGGAUUGAGAGCCAGGCCUAGAAAUGGGAGGUUCUAGGUUCGAAUCUCACCUCAAAUACUUCCUAACUAUGUGAUCCUGGGCAAGUCAGUUAACCCCCAUUGCCUAGUAUUUACUGCUCGUCUGCCUUGGAACCAAUACAUAGUAUUGAUUCCAAGACAGAAGGUGAGGAUUAAAAAAAAAAAAAGAAUUUCAUGUGAUGAAAGGGCAGCUAGAUGGCUCUGUGGACUGAGAGCCAGCCCUAAGGAUAGGAGAUCCUUGUUUAAAUCUGACCCUGGGCAAGCCACUUAAUCACCAUUGUCCAGCCCUUAUAGCUCUUCUGCCUUGGAAACCAAACACGAUAUUGGUUCUAAG
This 1078-nucleotide long non-coding RNA is filed under the name Monodelphis domestica (gray short-tailed opossum). RNAcentral describes it as "lncRNA (ENSMODG00000037444.1)". The record is from RNAcentral. Lineage: Eukaryota; Metazoa; Chordata; Mammalia; Didelphimorphia; Didelphidae.